GAAGGCUGAGCACGCCAGCGUCCGCUGCGCCUGCGCCUCUCACCACCGAGGAGGAGGACCUCUGCCAUGAGGCCGCCGCGGAGCGGGGAGACCACAGCGACUCGUCAGGCUCCGCUGUGAUUGGCGAAGGCCCGCGAGCGCCGAUCCACUCAAUACGGACUGGGCUCCGCUGCACAAGGACGAGGCCCAUCCAGCUGCGGCAGCCGCCCUCGCGCCGCCUCGAGCACGGUGCCUCCAGAGGCAACUGUCAAGGGCAUCGGCUGCCCGUGCGCAUGGCCGAUGAGCAGCACCCCCAGGCGCCAUAACAAUGAAUGGCCCGCUGCCUCGGCGGCGCACCGCCAUGCACAAUGUUUCUCAGCCAGUCGCGUUGCCGGUGCUGCCAUGGCCGCUUCCAUGGCAGUGAGGUGGGCACCUUUGGCAAAGGCCCAGAGGCGGGCUACCUGUGCCAUCCGGACGGCAGCGCGCGCGCAGGCCGGCAAGCCGCUCUUGCAGCCCAGUGAAGAGGGCGGGGGCGCGCAAGUUCGCGAUCGCGCGGUCGAGGUUAUCGCAUGACUGGAAGUCUCGGUACUUUGUGCUGAGCCCCGUGAAUGACGGCACCUGCUGCUACACAGACAAGGCGGCGGCCACGGUCGGGUCUGAGAAGCAGGGCGGCGACACGAAGAGCGAUGGUAGCGCGAGCCACGAUGCCGACGCCGAACCGGGCAGGGAGGCAUUGGAGGCAAGGCGGGCCCAAGGGCUUCGCUCCAGUCGACAAGCGCAGUCGCGUUCUGACUCAACCUUACAUCUCAAGCUUAUCGCUCAUUGUCCUGUAGCACGUACGACAGGAGCAUAGACAUCAUCAUCUUUUAGUCCAAGGAAGGUGAGAAGGAGCUGCGGCUCGUCCUCCAGUGCGGCACCAUCGAGGAACGCAGUGCUUGGAUUACAGCGCUGGAGGCCCACCGCCACGCCGUGAACAAUCUGACCGACUACUCGUCCGCCGCUAAUGCGGCAGCCAAGGCAAAUGCGAAGGAAAAGAAGAUGUGCGAGGAGGUUUACUGGUAAUGCGGCGGUACGGAAGCGCUGGUUGACGGCGGUCGUUGGUUGCCACAGUGCGCGCUCCUAUCAGCCUCAAUCCACGUAUUGCUUGACACGUUCAGCGAGUGCGUGGCAGCUGCGGCACCUGCUACUCACACAUCGAUGCCUGUUAUGAGCACCAAUAGGUGAAGGGGGGAAAGGGGGCGGGGGCCGACAACGGACACUCGGGAAGAGGUGAAAGCGAACGCGGCGCCGGAGGCAGAGGACUCAGUGCUGCGUCGCCUCCUCUUCUUGCUUUCUCUGAUCGCUCUCCCUUCAUGCACUUCUUUGUGUGUGCCAAUGCAUGUAUGUGUGUGUCUCUCGCUGUAUUGGUCCGCCCUUGAGUUGCGCUUCGGUCCGCAAUGCCAUGGACUCUCUCGCCCGGGUGUACGCAUCUCUACGGUGUCGUCUGUUGUAUGGUUUCCACUGCUUCGUGCCUAGCUCGGCGCGUACGCUGACCGAGAGAGGGAGGAGAGGAAGCUUGCACAGGCGCGUGGAGCAGGCACGGGGGCGAUGUGUGGGUAGAAGGGCACCAAAAGGGAAGACAAGCUGCCGACGAGGCCCAUGCCCCCUCACACGCACACGCACCCCUCUUCGCUCUCCCUGCCGGUCCUUUGCCCCACCCCCGCCACUGCACGCACACGCACACGCACAUGCGCAACGGUGGGUUGCAGAGAACACGCGAAGCGAAAAGAACGGUGUCGCACCAGGUGGGGCUUGGAAGUGGAUGCGGAAGAGCCCGGGUGCAAGCUGAAUGCCAGCCGCGACGCCCUGAGGGGUGGCUGCUAUCUCGUUCCUUUGCUCUACCAGUCGUCUCCGCUCCUCGUGAUGACGUCGGGACACCGCUCAGCGCGUGGUGGUGCCACAGGGCCCAGCACACCCGCUCUCUGUGCGGGAAAGCCAAAGUAGCCGUUCCCCCCCCUCCCUGCUAUCCCUGCCAAUGCCGAGCCACUUCUGGUGGUGAAAGUUUCAAGCACCUACGACAUGUGGAAGUUAGAGCGAUGCGUGGCUGCUGGUGUCGGCGGCCAGGUCUUGGGCGGCGUGGCAUCGGAGCGAGCCGAGCCCGUGAACACGUCUGUGCCAUCCGCAUGAUGGGCGGAGAGUGUCCGCGUGGCUCGAACGUGUCUUGCCCCCGGCCCUCGCACCACCCACUGGUGUGGGGAGCCUGAGCGCCACACGGAGAGGUGCACGGGGCGGCGACCGGCACAAUGCGAGCGGCUGUGAGGCGACCUGCAGAGCAGGUGGUCGGUAGAGCUCGAGGCAGGGGCCGCGUUCUCAGAUGACUGGGGGGGGGAGGCGGUGCGUUGGCUGUAACGCGUGUGCCUACGGCUGCUGUGUACGACGCGAUGGGGCCUGCGACGGGCCGGGGCGCGUAGAGCGGAGUUUGACCUCAUGUUGUCUGGCAGGAGGAACACGCGAGAACGCGACAAGAUGCCCGUCGCAGUUUCCAGCAGCCUACGCCAUUUUCGCUUUGUGCCGGCUUCGUCCCCCUCGUCUCUCGACUCUCGCCGCCGUCCUUCUCCCAUUCCGUUGUGCAACGCUUGCUCCGAUGUUUGUUGCCCACUUGCCGGAUCGCCUUGCCUUCCUCUUUUUUUUGUGUUGUGUUGCUGUUUCGCCUGCCUCCCCUACUCUUCCCCUCUCGGCCUCGCCGCUAUCAGCGUUGUGUGUGUGUGUGUUGGAUGCACUGGCUCUGGAAAGACAAUGUGCGGCACCUGGGAGAGGCGGUGCCCACUCCCUUUCCUUGUCUUCUUCGGCCCACUCCUCACUCUCGCUCUGCUCUGUGGCUCUCCAACUGUUCCACGCACAGACAGACAUGAGUGCACGCAAGAGGCAGUGUUGGAUGUGGUAGUAGCCCGCUGAUGCGACACGCAGGC
RNAcentral lists this unclassified non-coding RNA (2927 nucleotides) under Leishmania donovani. RNAcentral describes it as "gene:LdHU3.10.0330(CDS-product:hypothetical_prote in)". The record is from RNAcentral. Lineage: Eukaryota; Euglenozoa; Kinetoplastea; Trypanosomatida; Trypanosomatidae.